This is a long non-coding RNA of Cercocebus atys (sooty mangabey), 3487 nucleotides long. RefSeq lists it as uncharacterized. NCBI's taxonomy places the organism in Eukaryota, Metazoa, Chordata, Mammalia, Primates, Cercopithecidae. The record is from RefSeq and is a predicted model, not a curated record. The transcript is spliced from 2 exons.
CCUCGGCCUCCCAAAGUGCUGGGAUUACAGGCUUGAGCCACCGCGCCCGGCCGACUCUGUGCUUUUUACAAAGUAAUAGUCUUCCAUAGAUUCAGCACCGACUCAAAUAUGCCGUACUUCCCACCAAAGCAACUUUUCAUUACUUUACAACGCUAAAGAAGACCUGUUCCCCACCAGAUUCUUCUUUCAAAUAAUCAGUCUCAAUACGUUUUCUUCUUUGUAGUGCCCAUUUUCCAUGCCUUUAAUCAUUUUUGCUAAGUUCCUUUGGACUUUAUCCAAGUUUCUGUGUCAUGUUUAAACUGUGUGGCCCCCACAAAGACCUCAAGAGGUUAAAGAAACAAAACACAAAGAUUCCCCUGUGGCUGAAGAAGGUUAUACUACAGCUGAAUAAAAUUAAUAAACUUUCAACAGCUUAUCUGAAAGCCUGAUAAUCAAUGUAUUUACUAAAAUGCUCACCCAGAGUGGCUGGAGCAUGUGUGAAAGUGGAGCUGGAAGAGGGAACGUUCUCACUAUAAUUUUACUCACAUGAACAUCGAUCAUAAAAGUUCAGUGACCAACACUUUGGCCAAAUUUCUGGAACCCAGAUGAGCACUUGAGGCAAACGAAAACCUGCGGUAUAGCAGGCCCCUGUGGACGUUGGAUUUACAUGAAUUUGACUGGUGGUCUUGGGAAGGUUUGAAGUGGAACGGGUGCUGGAGAAGGCAAAAGGGACCAGAUGUGAACAUAACCAAAAAACACCACUGUGACUGGCACUUCAGAGCACCUUUGCUGACAAACUUUGCAUGGAGUCAGAAACGUAAUGGAUGAAAAAAGCCACUUUCUGACAACUGAAGACGGCACACGUAAAGCGCACAGCCAGGGCAGGACUAAGCAAAUGCAAGCUGUGAUUUUAUCAGCAGCAUGUUCUUGAAGGACGAGCAUCUUGAUAAAGGAAGGGAAAACUCAUAGUUUAUGAGACAUGGAACGGGGCAUGGGAGGAACCCCAUUCACCAGGCCUCCCAGUUUCAUGGAAAGAUGCGCUUCCUAGAGUGGCACCCGGACCUCUCUCCCCAGCUUACCUGACUGGCUGGGCCACACAGGCUUUCUCUUUCGAACCUGCCUGCCCACAGAGGGUGCACUUUGGACCUGCUCCUGCCAUGUGUCGGGUGGACUCUGCAUCUGUGUUACAGAGGCCAGCAGCAGUCCAGCUGGGCUGGUAACUGGGUGGGUAAAUUUGUCUCAUUUGGAAAUGGAGUCUCAGAAACCCCACUGAGACCAUGCACCUGAGCAUUCCUUCAGUCCAGCUUCUGUCAAUAAUAAAACCUUUAUUUUUAUCUCCUCUGUCUGUUCCUCAACUGGUGAAUUCAGGAGGCAAGAGAGGAGUUGUACCUGCUUCUUCCCCCAAAGCCUGACAGGAAUUUUAGACAUCCCAGAAUCUUCAUUUGAUUUAAGCAUUUCUUCCUCCUUUCAGAAUAGUGGAUGCAAGAAAACUGAGAAGCCAUUUAAGCUGCUUCUGAGCAGGAAGGAGAGAGCACAGAGUCAGUGGCUGCUGCCCACUCCCCAACCCCACAUCUCUUUGGAAUAUGGCUAGAAAGGCAAAAUAACAAAUGUCUGUCCUUGCCUUCCCCUAGCCUUCCAAAGGCACACAUUUUCCAACUGAGCAGCUCCUCUAAGAAUCAAUCAGUGCUGAGGCCUUAGAUGAAAAAGAGAAGAGUACUUCGUCACCAUCGAGAAUCUGAGGAGCCACGGACAAAGCCUUCAUCUGUAGAUAAGGAAGGUGUGGCUUUGUCCGAAGACGUACAUCCAACCACCAAGAAUGGCACUUUCAAGCUCAAGGGCAUUGCUCUCGACUUCCGUUUUCUGUUCCAACACAACACACUCCCGUCAAUCAUGGUGGUUCAAAUCAUGGCAGUGACUCUCCAGAUGGGAAGGUGGAUCAGACUCCAUGUGAGGCAUCAAUGUUACAUACAGUUUUUUAAAGUCUCCAGGUAAGAUUCUGACUCACCUCUCUCUGGGGUCAGGCCUGGAUAUAAAUCCAGGUAUUGCUACUUAGUAGGUAUAUUAAUGUUAACAAGUUACUAUCUGAGCUUCAACAGCCUGAUCUAUAAAAUGGGAAUAAUAAUCUAUCCAAUCUGUCUUGCAGGCCUAUCCUUAGGACUAAAGGAGAUUACAUUUAGAUCAAGACUUAGUUUCUGACUUGGAACAACCAAUGGCUACUGUAUCAAUUCAGGAUAGCCUAGGAUAUGCUGCAGUAACAAACAACCCUGGUGUUUCAGUGGCUUAACACAAAACAGUGUGCUUCUUGCUAAUACCAAGUCCACUGCAGAUCUAAGCGGCUCUCCAGAGCACCUGUCAUCCUCACCCGGAAAUUCAGGCCACCUGAAAUUACAAAGCCUCCUGUGUGAUCCUACUGCAGGGAAGAGAGCACGGGAGGAUCUCACACGAAAUUACAGUUCCCACAUGAAACUAGCAUAUGUCACUUCUGCCCACAAUUCCCUUCUUCCCUCAAGAAUACAGAAGUAAAAUCUAAUACGCAAUCUAGGAUGUUCAUAUAGCUCAGGGAAGACAGUCCAAACUAGGCAAGCUACCGAACAGGAAGUGGAAAUGACUUCCCUUCUGCCAAACAAGGCAAAAUGCGGCAAUAAUACGUGCCCACCGGAAGACAGAGAACACAGCUUCAUCUCUGAAAGAUGAAGACCAACGGCCGCAGUUACUGUGGUACUCGUAAAAGCAGCAAGGCAAAAUAAAACCAACACAAAAAGAAUCUGCAUUAGGAGCGUAUCUUAGCUGGUUUUCAAGGAGUAAUGAAUCAUCUCUACCAUUACUCUGGGCUUUCUCCACCAGAAGGUACUGACUUAGCGACCGUCUGUCAAUAGGAAAAACGACUCCGUUGAGCUGGGCAUAAAAUCCUAGGAGCGCUGCAUGAUGCAUGUGCUGUGCAUCUUCUCGGCGGCCCCCUUCUCCCUCUUUUGGCUCUCAAAGCUAGAAACCAUUGAACAUCUAGACAGGCUGCCAGUAAAUAUCCAAUGGCCUAUACUAAUUUUUUAAAGCCUCAAAAUGAUUUUAUCUGGUUCAUACUUAAAAGAAAUCACUGAUGUUAACAAAGCCCUGACCAAGCAGGAUUCCCUUAACCCAAGGGCUUUGCAUCAGUUUCCUUGUGUCCUGUGCUCCUAAAGCAGCGACUAGCCCCACUGAGGGAGCUGCUGUCCCCACAGUGCACCGCUGACAGCAGUCGGUACAACCAACACAGCAGAGUAGCAUAGAAAGUAAUCCAUCAGCAGCUUUGUUUUUGACCACAUAAGCACCGAAAACCAAACCUAAAAGGCAUGGGAGGAGAGGAGGCAUUGAAUCUGAGGAUUCCUUGAAUUUAGCCAAACACAUAUAAAUAUUUCAGCACACUUCACAGGAUUUCAUAUAUACUUACCUUCUUCUCUCUUUCUGCAUAAAUAAUAGGCUCACAUCUCUUCUUCUCAACACUUUUUCCUUUCUUUUCCAAGACAGAGUCUCG